Molecule: non-coding RNA, 412 nt
Organism: Pelobates cultripes (western spadefoot toad)
Lineage: Eukaryota; Metazoa; Chordata; Amphibia; Anura; Pelobatidae
Source: the annotation of a GenBank genome assembly
UAAAUCAUUCAAUUCCAAUAAGAAGGUGGUUGUUGGGUCAGUUGAUAACAUUGAAGGUCAUUGUAACAGUAGUAUAUUGCUGUGACAGAUCGCCUGGCACUCCUACUGGGUGCCUCCACCAAUCGCUGCUUCCUAGUACCUCUGAGUACUUCCAAGCACUCCUCCAGACACCAUCAGCACUGUAGUCCCCACUUUCCACAUUAAAGCUUGGCUGGGGUCUUGCUGUCUUCCACCCACCAUGGAUCCAAGACCAUCCCAGUGACAGCGACUUUGCAUGCGGAUGUUAUUCAUAUCAACUUUCGAUGCCAGUUAAUGCGCCUACCAUGGUGACCACGGGUAAUGGGGAAUCAGGAUUCCAUUCUGUACAGGGACCCUGAGAAUCGGCUACCACAUGCAAGGAAGGCAGCAGGCG